This 67-nucleotide transfer RNA is filed under the name Marmota monax (woodchuck). RNAcentral's name for it is "tRNA.Ala". The record is from RNAcentral. Lineage: Eukaryota; Metazoa; Chordata; Mammalia; Rodentia; Sciuridae.
GGCUUGUGGCCAGCGGUGGAACACUUGCCCAGCGUGCAUGAGGCCCUGGGUUCGAUCCCCAGCACCA